Molecule: ribosomal RNA, 253 nt
Filed under: uncultured bacterium
Lineage: Bacteria
Description: partial 16S ribosomal RNA
Rfam family: Bacterial small subunit ribosomal RNA
Source: RNAcentral
UACAGAGGUCCCGAGCGUUGUUCGGAUUUAUUGGGCGUAAAGGGUGCGUAGGUGGCAAAGUAAGUUGGAUGUGAAAUCCUGGGGCUCAACCUCAGAAUUGCAUUCCAUACUGCUUAGCUAGAGAGCUGUAGAGGAGACUGGAAUUUACGGUGUAGCAGUGAAAUGCGUAGAUAUCGUAAGGAACGCCAGUGGCGAAAGCGAGUCUCUGGGCAGCAUCUGACACUGAGGCACGAAGGCCAGGGGAGCAAACGGG